This 28-nucleotide small RNA is filed under the name Bombyx mori (domestic silkworm). RNAcentral's name for it is "ovarian small RNA-22876". Lineage: Eukaryota; Metazoa; Arthropoda; Insecta; Lepidoptera; Bombycidae. The record is from RNAcentral.
UAGUACAUUAAUAUCAGCUUUACGAAAA